This 384-nucleotide ribosomal RNA is filed under the name Triticum aestivum (bread wheat). Its description in RNAcentral is "partial small subunit ribosomal RNA". The record is from RNAcentral. Lineage: Eukaryota; Viridiplantae; Streptophyta; Magnoliopsida; Poales; Poaceae.
AUGACAAAGUUGAGAAGUUUCCUGGGGCUAGCAGGUUACUAUAGAAGAUUUAUAAAAGGUUAUGGAAUUAUAUGCAGACCUUUACAUGAUCUAUUAAACAAGGGCCAGUUUGAUUGGAAAAAGGAACAUGACAAAGCAUUUGUUCAACUACAGCAAUCCCUAAUCACAGCUCCAGUGUUAGCUCUACGUGAUUUCUCCAAACCCUUUGUGCUGAAAAAGGAUGCAUCUGGAAAAGGUAUAGGAGCAGUACUGAUGCAGCAAGGCAGACCUCUGGCUUAUUAUAGCUCCUCUCUCUGCCCUAGAAACACUACUCUGUCCACUUAUGGAAAGGAAGCUCUAGCCAUCCUAGAAGCACGAAAAAUGGAUACACUACCUGAUAGGUAA